AUUGAACGCUGGCGGCAUGCCUUACACAUGCAAGUCGAACGGUAACGGGUCCUUCGGGAUGCCGACGAGUGGCGAACGGGUGAGUAAUAUAGCGGAACGUGCCCAGUAGUGGGGGAUAACUGCUCGAAAGAGCAGCUAAUACCGCAUACGACCUGAGGCUGAAAGGGGGGGAUCGCAAUACCUCUCGCUAUUGGAGCGGCCGAUAUCAGAUUAGCUAGUUGUUGGGGUAAAGGCCUACCAAGGCAACGAUCUGUAGUUGGUCUGAGAGGACGACCAGCCACACUGGGACUGAGACACGGCCCAGACUCCUACGGGAGGCAGCAGUGGGGAAUUUUGGACAAUGGGCGCAAGCCUGACCCAGCAAUGCCGCGUGCAGGAAGAAGGCCUUCGGGUUGUAAACUGCUUUUGUCAGGGAAGAAAUCUUCUGGGCUAAUACCCCGGGAGGAUGACGGUACCUGAAGAAUAAGCACCGGCUAACUACGUGCCAGCCGCCGCGGUAA
Molecule: ribosomal RNA, 500 nt
Filed under: uncultured bacterium
Lineage: Bacteria
Description: partial 16S ribosomal RNA
Rfam family: Bacterial small subunit ribosomal RNA
Source: RNAcentral